UUGGAGGGCAAGUCUGGUGCCAGCAGCCGCGGUAAUUCCGGCUCCAAUAGCGUAUAUUAAAGUUGUUGCAGUUAAAAAGCUCGUAGUUGAACCUCGGGGUCUACCCAUUGGUCAGGCUUAAUUGUCUGCACUGGUGAGAUGGAUCUCUACCUUCUGAGGAACUUUCAUGCCAUUUAUUUGGUGUGAUGGGAAAUCAGGACUGUUACUUUGAAAAAAUUAGAGUGUUUAAAGCAGACUAUCGUCUGAAUACAUUAGCAUGGAAUAAUGAAAUAGGACGGACUGAUUCUAUUUCGUUGGUUUCUAGGAUCACCGUAAUGAUUAAUAGGGAUAGUUGGGGGCAUUAGUAUUCAAUUGUCAGAGGUGAAAUUCUUGGAUUUAUUGAAGACUAACUACUGCGAAAGCAUUUGCCAAGGAUGUUUUCAUUAAUCAAGAACGAAAGUUAGGGGAUCGAAGACGAUCAGAUACCGUCGUAGUCUUAACCAUAAACUAUGCCGACUAGGGAUCGGACGAAGUUAAUUUUAUAAUGACGCGUUCGGCGCCUUACGGGAAAC
This 551-nucleotide ribosomal RNA is filed under the name uncultured Diversisporaceae. RNAcentral describes it as "SSU rRNA". It matches the Rfam family "Eukaryotic small subunit ribosomal RNA", at positions 548 to 1098 of the family's 1831-position model. Lineage: Eukaryota; Fungi; Glomeromycota; Glomeromycetes; Diversisporales. The record is from RNAcentral.